This is a long non-coding RNA of Oncorhynchus tshawytscha (Chinook salmon), 566 nucleotides long. The record is from Ensembl. Lineage: Eukaryota; Metazoa; Chordata; Actinopteri; Salmoniformes; Salmonidae.
CAGGGAUGAAGAGAAGAUGGCUACUGGAUGUUCUCUGGACUGGAUCCUGUAUCAGCAGCAGCAGUGGAAGAUCCAUUUUAGAUCUGGCUAUCAUCAAUAUCAUUUAUUAAUAUCAGAAUACAGACCUUUAGACUAAUGUGAGGAGUGUUGUCCAGUGUUCCUCAGCCCCUUCUGGACAGGUACAUAAUGGGACACUUCACGUUUCCUCAGUCCCUUCUGGACAGGUACAUAAUGGGACACUUCACGUUUCCUCAGUCCCUUCUAGACAGGUACAUAAUGGGACACUUCACGUUUCCUCAGUCCCUUCUGGACAGGUACAUAAUGGGACAGUUCACGUUUCCUCAGCCCCUUCUGGACAGGUACAUAAUGGGACAGUCCACUUUUCAUCACAUCCCCCAUGGAAAGUUACAGUCCACUUUAACCACCAACACCCCUUGCCUCCAUAACGUACAUGGGACAGUCUCACAUUUCUUCUAGAAUAAGACAUGACAGUCAUCCACUCCAGUUCACCCAAUGGGAUUCCAACAGAAUGACUUAUUCUACUGCACAUGUCUAAAGCACUGCCU